CCGAAAAAUUAAAAUUCUCCUAUCAUAUUUAAUCAGCUGUAAUUAUAACACAUUCGAAAUGAAUAAUAUGCCUUGACAGUAUUUUUAUUGUUAUUGUUCAUUGCAUGAUGUUCGACUGCUUUAGAAGCACAGGAAAGAGAAGUAAACGCGCUACAAAUGGGGAAUUACCCUCGUUUAGCAUUAAAAUUCAUUUAGAUAAAAUUGCCACAAACAUUUAAAUGGGAAGAUUAGUUCCCCCUCACGCCUUAUUGCACUCGCUCAAUGGUUCCGUUAAGAACAUUUUACACGUUGGAAAUUCCGUCUUCUCAGACGGCUUGCCGUUUCCUAGUUACCCACAUUCAAAGCAAAGGCAGCAGCAAAGGCAGCCGCAGCAGCAGCAGCAGGGAAAAAAAAAAAAAAAAAGUUUUGGCAACUGGUCUGCAAUUCAUCCGCUUCUGGCCCCAGCCUCCCCUCCGCCCACAGCAAUCCGCCCCCACCCAUCACCUUUCCUCACACCCCAUUAGGUAACUGGCAGAGUCCUGUAGAAACAGCCUCUGAGUUGUACAGUAUGUAUAUAAUGUUAAAUACAAAGAAAUGCCGAAAAGCCAGGCUCCCCUAUCCUGCUUCUGUUCUGAAUGGAGGGGUUAGCCUGAAUGUGCUGAGUUUCUCACAUCCUCUGCUCUGAGCCCACAAGGCACGGUUUUUGGCUUUCUUUUCUGCCAGGACAUUUCCAGGAAAUUCACCACUGCUUUUUGCCUAUAUUAGACAUGUGUGAAAGAAUGACUUUUGAAAAGUCCGUACAACGUCUAGUUUCUCCCUCUCCUUUCUCUUGUCUCUUUCCUUCUCCCUUUGCCUCUCUCUCCCUCACUCCCCCUUUCUCUCGCUCCUUCCCUCUUCCCUCUUUCUGCCCCUCCCUUCGCAGGGCCGCAGGAAAAGAAGAACGUCGGCUUCGACUGCCAUCUUUUGGGGAUUUGGAAAACUACUCGGUAGUGCUGUCCUCAGUCUCUUGGGGCAUACUUCUUUCCGGUUCUGGCACAAACUACCCCUCAGGGCUUAAAGACAUGCAGAUGACAGAUGAUCAAGGUAUGCAUCUCUUAAUCAAGCUGCCGUAUUCGCCCAUCUAAAGAGCUGUUUAAAAAACACAUCCAGCAGAUCUCAGCCUCCAAUAUUCACAUCUUAUUUACUCCAACUU
RNAcentral lists this long non-coding RNA (1171 nucleotides) under Bos grunniens (domestic yak). RNAcentral's name for it is "lncRNA (ENSBGRG00000013104.1)". The record is from RNAcentral. Lineage: Eukaryota; Metazoa; Chordata; Mammalia; Artiodactyla; Bovidae.